Hippocampus comes (tiger tail seahorse) is the source of this 3107-nucleotide long non-coding RNA. RefSeq lists it as uncharacterized. NCBI's taxonomy places the organism in Eukaryota, Metazoa, Chordata, Actinopteri, Syngnathiformes, Syngnathidae. The transcript has 2 exons. The record is from RefSeq and is a predicted model, not a curated record.
AUAUAUAUAUAUAUAUAUAUCAUAAUAAUAGUAACUUUGUCCAAAAACAGUGAGAUUGUAAAAUGAAAGAAAGGGAAAAGCGGGGAUGUCGUCUUUGGUGGUCCGAUGCAGUUUGCACAGUUGUGUAGCCAAUGGCUUAAUGGCACUGACAUGCAGCUACGAAAGAAACAACGGUGGCGAGGAGAGGCCGGUCCUGAGGUGAUCUGCUAAAAGGACCAAAGCUUAGGCCUCCGUUUGACUUUUGACCAGCUUUCGUUCACAUUUUGCUACAUCCUUCCCAACGCCGUAUAACCAGAAGUACCGGUUGUUUUGUUUUUUUCACAACUUCCUGCUUUGUGUUGUCGUGCCAUAAGCGAGGCUUUGCCAAACCAGUUUUUCCAACGUCGCCGACUUUUUUUUGUACUUUGGAGUCAAAGAGGGUGGAAGGCAGCAGUUAGCUUAUCUUGGCAACCUUUGGCAAAGAAGUGCCUCCUUUCUUGAAUAUGUACAAACCCCUUUUUACAUAGCAUGUUAAAGCCAGGUCUUACGUCUGGUUUGACACAGAAAUGGGGGCGUGAAGCUUUGGGCGUUGUAUUAGAGCCGUAACAUGAGUCCACUUGGAAGUAGUAUCGCAGUCAUAACAGAGGUGGGUCAGUGCCUUUAUGUUGGGGAAGACCAUAACACCGUGUUACGGGAGUGACGUUUUAACACCCGACACUCACUCCCGUCUGCCCUGUUGUGUGAAACGCGAUUUGUCCAACACAUAUUUUAUACAUCGGGCGAGACUCUGACAUCAUCUUUUUUGCUGGAUGCUAUUUCAAAGCGGGAACCGUGGCGUUGUGGGUUCUAUGAGAGAAGCUUAUGUUACAGCUCCAAUGCGGCCAUUUUGAGGCUCUUCUCGUGUCAAUCUGAACUUGGGCAGGGAACAGGCCCACUGGUUUUCAAUGAACAUUUUCUCAUUCACCUUUAAGCCUUGAGUGUAUAUUGGAUAUAAAUACAUACAUAUAUAUCGAUAUAUUACAGCGUGAAUAGUAACCAGAUCUAUAUUGUUUUUUAUACCUGAGCAUGCUGCGAUACUGUAUGACUCAGCCACUAGUUGGAUGUUGCUUUAAAAAAAAGAAACAAGGACUGUUGUUGUUAGUUUACUAAAUGGAGGAUUUUGACUGAGGUCAACUCCCGCUGCCAAUUCAAGAUGGACACACCACCCCCCGUUUUUUGUUUUUUUUUCCCCAGUAGCGGGAGCGAAGUGUGUAGCUUUUGCCCGAACGUGUGCUGAACCUCAUGCAAGAACUUUGAUUUUGUUUUGUUUUUAACAUUUUUACCCUAUUUGGUUCAUUUAGAUUUAGCAUACGAUACAUGACUGGCUACAUCUUAGCAUAUUGAGCGAUGUUAGCUAAAUUGGUAGCCGUCAAAAUAGGGAGGGAAAAAAUUAUUAAAUUGGUUAAAUUCUAGAUGUUAUAACCGACUUAGCGUCAUGUUUACUAAAGCAAAUGAGUGGAUUUUGAAUGUAAAGGCUGAAAAAGAACAGCUUUCCAUUUGUUCCAAUGUUUCAAUUUUGACAUUACCACAGACUUUGGCACUCUGUUCUCUAGUGACAUUAGCUAGUUUAUCCACAUGAUGCUAGCUAAGAAAAAAAAGCAAAUUUUUUUUUGAUUGUAACAAAUGCCCCCAAAAUUCCAAACCUUCUGAUUCCACUGCAUUUUGUUAAUGAAAAUUACAACAGCAACUUUGUUGUAAGUUUCUUGCAUGAGGUUCAGUGUCUGCAAUCAUAAACCGAACGAGUUGUGUUUAGCGGUCUGUUGUCAGCAGGGUUGGUCUCAGCUGGCCUUACGAACUCUUUCUAACACUGACUGUUGAAAAUCUUUGUAUCUCAAUUUUAACAAGAACGCUGUGUAAGCAGAAUGCAGUAUUUUUUUUUUUUCCCCCCACUGCCACGGGUCACACAUGGUUGUCUUUUUACUCUGCAGUACACUAGGACUCUUUCUGUGUGGGAAAAAAAAGAGACAUCAAAUGUGUCCUUUUGUACUGUAUUGAUGAAAUCAUAGGGUGUUUUAUUGACGCAUUUGCUUCAUGGCCGCCGCUUGCCCCAAUCUGAUAUAUAUAUUUUUUUUGUAGUCUUGUCAAUCGCAAAAUUACCAAAUGGCACUUGAGAUUGGGCAUAAUUCUUGAUAAUUUCCAUUGGCUCAUUUAUUCAAAGUAAGGAUUUGGUCAUUGACUAACCUUCACUAUAAUAUAAGAAAACCUUUAUUUGUCUCACAAUGGAGAAACUCCCACUGGCAACAUUAUUGCUGUGGAAACAGGAGUUCAGAACUAUUAAAUCAUAUUGAUAAACAAAUUGAUUGUUCAACCUUUACCCAAUGAAGGAAAUGUAAUCUAAUGGCCAUCAAGGUCCAAUUCUGUCUUGUUCAGUUUUAAUGUGCUCUAUGCUAUUCCUGUGGCCUUUUAAUGUUAAUAUAUAUACAAUAUAAAUAUAUAUUGAAUAUGUUAUGACUUGAUAUGCAAAUGUUGUUGUUCUACUACAGCACUAGAGUGGAAAAUGAACCCCCCCCCUAAAAAAAACACUUAAUGGUGUUGGACUCCAUUUCAGUAUGCAGCUUUCAUUUUGUAAAACUUGUUUCCGAGCUGCUUUUCCUAUGUGUUGUUUUCAUUUCUUCUUUAUUUUAUUUUUUUUAUAUAUGUAUAACAAUGAAAAAAAAAGUGCGGGGGGGGGCGGGGGGGACACACGUGCACGCUGCCACAUCACGGGAACGGUCGUUUCUGUGUCCUUAACAACUUGUAGCCACAUUUAGGUGUCAAUGUGCUCAGGACGGGAGGGUACUAUUCAAUGAUAUAAAGUAAAAAGGAAAGUCAAUGAUUUAAAAAAAAAUGGUUACCUCAAUGAGGGAAUUUUCAGGGAUUUUUAUUUGGGGACAUGCAUCGUGUUGCAUUGAAUGGCCUUUUUUUUUGGAAUGGUCAAUUUGUAUUGUGCUGUUUUUAACACAACAAGCAAGUGUGUGGGCGAGGGAAGGAGGCAGGCCACGUUGGAAAAAAAAAAAACCACCAUUGGCCCAAUGUAUUGUACUGUACAGUGUACUGAAACCACACCACACUUGUUAUACUGUAAUAAAUAUUGACAUAUUUUUUCUUUA